Molecule: ribosomal RNA, 887 nt
Filed under: Monascus ruber
Lineage: Eukaryota; Fungi; Ascomycota; Eurotiomycetes; Eurotiales; Aspergillaceae
Description: partial large subunit ribosomal RNA
Rfam family: Eukaryotic large subunit ribosomal RNA
Source: RNAcentral
AGGAAAAGAAACCAACCGGGAUUGCCUCAGUAACGGCGAGUGAAGCGGCAAGAGCUCAAAUUUGAAAGCUGGCCCCUCCGGGGUCCGCAUUGUAAUUUGCAGAGGAUGCUUCGGGCUCAGCCCCCGUCUAAGUGCCCUGGAACGGGCCGUCGGAGAGGGUGAGAAUCCCGUCUGGGACGGGGUGCCUGGGUCCAUGUGAAGCUCCUUCGACGAGUCGAGUUGUUUGGGAAUGCAGCUCUAAAUGGGUGGUAAAUUUCAUCUAAAGCUAAAUACUGGCCGGAGACCGAUAGCGCACAAGUAGAGUGAUCGAAAGAUGAAAAGCACUUUGAAAAGAGAGUUAAACAGCACGUGAAAUUGUUGAAAGGGAAGCGCUUGCGAUCAGACUCGCCUGCGGGGUUCAGCCGGCAUUCGUGCCGGUGUACUUCCCCGUGGGCGGGCCAGCGUCGGUUCGGGUGGCCGGUCAAAGGCCCCGGGAAUGUGUCGCCCUCCGGGGCGUCUUAUAGCCCGGGGUGCCAUGCGGCCUACCUGGACCGAGGAACGCGCUUCGGCUCGGACGCUGGCGUAAUGGUCGUAAGCGACCCGUCUUGAAACACGGACCAAGGAGUCUAACAUCUACGCGAGUGUUUGGGUGGCAAACCCAUACGCGCAGUGAAAGCGAACGGAGGUGGGAACCCUUCGGGGCGCACCAUCGACCGAUCCUGAUGUCUUCGGAUGGAUUUGAGUAAGAGCGUAGCUGUGGGGACCCGAAAGAUGGUGAACUAUGCCUGAAUAGGGCGAAGCCAGAGGAAACUCUGGUGGAGGCUCGCAGCGGUUCUGACGUGCAAAUCGAUCGUCAAAUUUGGGUAUAGGGGCGAAAGACUAAUCGAACCAUCUGGUAGCUGGUUCCU